UACGUAGGGGGCAAGCGUUGUCCGGAAUCAUUGGGCGUAAAGAGCGUGUAGGCGGAUCGGUAAGUCUACUCUGAAAGCUCCUGGCUAAACUGGGAGAGGCGAGUGGAGACUGUCGGUCUAGAGUGAGGAAGAGGAAAGUGGAAUUCCGCGUGUAGUGGUGAAAUGCGUAGAGAUGCGGAGGAACACCAGUGGCGAAAGCGGCUUUCUGGUCCUUAACUGACGCUGAGGCGCGAAAGCAUGGGGAGCGAACGGG
Molecule: ribosomal RNA, 253 nt
Filed under: uncultured bacterium
Lineage: Bacteria
Description: partial 16S ribosomal RNA
Rfam family: Bacterial small subunit ribosomal RNA
Source: RNAcentral